GACGUAGGGGGCCAGCGUUGUUCGGAAUUACUGGGUGUAAAGGGCGCGUAGGCGGUGCGGUAAGUCACCUGUGAAACCUCUGGGCUUAACUCAGAGCCUGCAGGCGAAACUGCCGUGCUGGAGUGUGGGAGAGGUGCGUGGAAUUCCCGGUGUAGCGGUGAAAUGCGUAGAUAUCGGGAAGAACACCAGUGGCGAAGGCGGCUCACUGGUCCGGUACUGACGCUGAGGUGCGAAAACGUGGGGAGCAAACAGG
Molecule: ribosomal RNA, 253 nt
Filed under: uncultured prokaryote
Description: partial 16S ribosomal RNA
Rfam family: Bacterial small subunit ribosomal RNA
Source: RNAcentral